UACGAAGGGGGCGAGCGUUGUUCGGAAUCACUGGGCGUAAAGAGUGCGUAGGCGGUUAUGAAAGUUAGGAGUGAAAGCCCAGGGCUCAACCUUGGAAUUGCUCUUAAUACUCCAUAACUCGAAUUUGGGAGAGGAUAGCGGAAUUCUCAGUGUAGCAGUGAAAUGCGUAGAUAUUGAGAGGAACACCAGUGGCGUAAGCGGCUAUCUGGACCAACAUUGACGCUGAGGCACGAAAGCGUGGGGAUCAAACAGG
RNAcentral lists this ribosomal RNA (253 nucleotides) under uncultured bacterium. RNAcentral's name for it is "partial 16S ribosomal RNA". It matches the Rfam family "Bacterial small subunit ribosomal RNA", at positions 524 to 776 of the family's 1533-position model. The record is from RNAcentral.